Polyodon spathula (Mississippi paddlefish) is the source of this 688-nucleotide long non-coding RNA. RefSeq lists it as uncharacterized. The record is from RefSeq and is a predicted model, not a curated record. Lineage: Eukaryota; Metazoa; Chordata; Actinopteri; Acipenseriformes; Polyodontidae. The transcript is spliced from 3 exons.
UCCAGCUCUGUACCUGGGUGCAGGGGUAGGAUCUGGGCUCCUUGUGCUGCUGUUACUGCUGACAGGAGGAGUGCUGAAGUGUCUGCAAUCCAGACGAGACCCUGCUGUCCAGAUUGAACCUGUGUACGCCAAUGUGAAUAAGCUGGAUCGGUCUCCACGGCAACAGGAUGAUACAAUCCCUGAUCCAGAAACGCUCCCCCUGUCCCCAAGAAAACAUGUCUGGCAGAUCUGAUGUAGAAUACGCAACAGUUGAAAUUUCCAAAUGCUGUCUGUUGAUGAGAAAUCCACCUGGGGGAGAAAAGACUUUUGUGGUUGAUAGUAAACCACCUCAUAUUCACUGCAAAGAAAAAAUGAUCUUUCCAUUUAAUAAAAGCACUUUUUGCAACAAACAAUAAAUUAUUUCUCCCUCAUGCAAACAAGGGGUAAAUAACACAGUUAAUUCAAUCAAAAGUGUGCUGCAGGGCAAUCAUCACAAAAUACAGUGCAUAACAAGAAAUUGUGUUACAAAAAAACUUUUCUUUUUCAUCCAAGCUAAACCUGGUCACUUGAGACAUACAAUCCAAAUUAUAAUGUCAUUUUCCAGCAGAUCUGGAGGAAAAGCUGUAAAAACUACAGCUAUAGUACUCAGCAGUGAGAUAGCAGUCUCUGCUUCCAUCCCUAUAGUGUUUUUUUCUGUUUUGCGUUACUG